This is a long non-coding RNA of Felis catus (domestic cat), 1444 nucleotides long. RefSeq lists it as uncharacterized. The transcript has 3 exons. Lineage: Eukaryota; Metazoa; Chordata; Mammalia; Carnivora; Felidae. The record is from RefSeq and is a predicted model, not a curated record.
CAGGUAGAAGUUUGCAGAUCCCUCUUCUAGAAGGGACAGUGUUUGAAAUGCACAUCUCCUUGGCCUUGAGAUCUCAAUGCCUGCAGGUUACCUCUGUCCAAAGCAAUGCUAUUGUUGGUGUCUACCAAAGGCCACCAGAUGAAAGUGAUUGGGGAUGGAGAGAUGUAGUGAAAGGGAGGACCUGGAUGUGAGUUAUUCUUUCUUACCUUCGUCUCCUCUUCUUUAAUCUCCAGUUGGCACUUGAAGAUGUUGAUGCGAAUGGCUGCUCUUUGAUGCUAGCACCAUGGAAUUUAGAUAUAAACAUUUGAUAAAAGCUAAAUUCCCAGUGUCCUCACAACCCUUUGAUGCCUCACCAGUAAGUGAAUGAGAUCCUUUGGUUCCAGGCAGGGAUGGUAAGUAGGGUGACUACUCCACUUUGCCUGAAGAAUUCUAUUAGAUUAGAUUUUAGGGCCAUCUCUUUUGGAAGUCCAUUGGUUAUUGUGGCUCAUUUUAAAUUCAAUAACCCAUCUCCCAGGCUGCCAAAAAGGAGGUGGGGUCUCUUGGGAUUGUUAACAGUGACCACGCAGAACCCCGGUGUGUGUGUCUUCAGGGAGAGCACAAACAUUGUCUGUGAGAAUGAUAACAGCUCUUCUUUGGUGAGGAAGAACAAUUAGGGCUGCGUCUGCACUGGGCUCUCCACAUGUAUUUCCGAGUAGUCCUUACAAAAGUGCUAUGAGGUAGGUGUUUAUAUGACUUCUGUCCUUGUCUUCCUGUAGUCUAUUACUAACACAGCAGCCAGAGUGAUCCUAUUCAAAUAUGGGUCAGCUCAUGUCACUCCUCUGCUCAGAACCCUCCAGCAGCUUCCUGUCUCUCACAAUCAAAGCCAAAGCCCUUGCUAUAACUUUCAAGUCCUGUGAUUUUUUGCCUCCCCUUUACCUCUCUGAUUUCAUCCUCACUCCCUCCAUGCAUGUUGCUCCAUAAACGACCCUGGCCCUGUGCUUUUUUCUUGAAAAUCCUGCCUCAGGGUUUUCAUACUUUUUGCCCCUCCUGCUUGGAAUUGUCACUUCCAAGAUGGUCAUGUGGGUAGCAGCCCACUUUCUUCAGGUUUUUGCUUGAAAGUCACCUUCUCACUGAGGACUUCCCUAGCAAUCCUGACUAAAAUUUCACCAAACGUCUCUAUCAUCCAACAUUUCCUAACUUGCCUUCCAAAUUUAACUUUUUAUUUUUUUGGCAUCUCUUUUGCUUACUUGCUUUGUUGAUUGAAAUGUAAGCCCCACAAAGGCAAGGAUUUUUCUCUGUUUUCUAACCAUGCACCCUACAAUCUCAUAUCCAGCAACUAGGCAACUAGAACAGUACCUGGACCACAGGAAAUACACAGUAAGUAUUUACUGAAAGCUGAAUAAUUUUAGUCUUUCUUUAAAAAAAAUUUUUUUUACAUUUAUUUAUUUUUGAGAGACAGAGCAUG